AGCGAACGCUGGCGGCAGGCCUAACACAUGCAAGUCGAACGAACAUUUCGGGGUUUGUGGCGGACGGGUGAGUAACAAGUGGGAACGUGCCUUUAGGUUCGGAAUAAUUCAGGGAAACUUGUGCUAAUACCGAUUGUGCUCUUCGGGGGUAAGAGUUAUCGCCUUUAGAGCGGCCCGCGUCUGAUUAGCUAGUUGGUUGAGGUCAUGGCUCACCAAGGCGACGAUGAGUAGCUGGUCUGUGCGGAUGAUCCGCCACAUUGGGACUGAGACACGGUCCACACUCCUACGGGGGGGAGCAGUGGGGAAUCUAGCGCAAUGAGCGAUAGCCUGACGCAGCCAUGCCGGGUGAAUGAUGAAGGUCUUAGGAUUGUGAAAUUCUUUCUCCGGAGGCGUUAAUGACGGUACCCGGAGAAGAAGCCCCGGCUAACUUCGUG
This 434-nucleotide ribosomal RNA is filed under the name uncultured bacterium. RNAcentral's name for it is "partial 16S ribosomal RNA". It matches the Rfam family "Bacterial small subunit ribosomal RNA", at positions 29 to 507 of the family's 1533-position model. The record is from RNAcentral.